CUACGGGGUGCUGCAGUGGGGAAUAUUGCGCAAUGGGCGCAAGCCUGAUGCAGCCAUGCCGCGUGUAUGAAGAAGGCCUUCGGGUUGUAAAGUACUUUCAGCGGGGAGGAAGGGAGUAAAGUUAAUACCUUUGCUCAUUGACGUUACCCGCAGAAGAAGCACCGGCUAACUCCGUGCCAGCAGCCGCGGUAAUACGGAGGGUGCAAGCGUUAAUCGGAAUUACUGGGCGUAAAGCGCACGCAGGCGGUUUGUUAAGUCAGAUGUGAACUCCCCGGGCUCAACCUGGGAACUGCAUCUGAUACUGGCAAGCUUGAGUCUCGUAGAGGGGGGUAGAAUUCCAGGUGUAGCGGUGAAAUGCGUAGAGAUCUGGAGGAAUACCGGUGGCGAAGGCGGCCCCCUGGACGAAGACUGACGCUCAGGUGCGAAAGCGUGGGGAGCAAACAGGAUUAGAUACCCUCGUAGUC
RNAcentral lists this ribosomal RNA (464 nucleotides) under uncultured bacterium. Its description in RNAcentral is "partial 16S ribosomal RNA". It matches the Rfam family "Bacterial small subunit ribosomal RNA", at positions 339 to 795 of the family's 1533-position model. The record is from RNAcentral.